This 679-nucleotide ribosomal RNA is filed under the name Bacillus sp. Bac6D3. Its description in RNAcentral is "bacterial SSU rRNA". It matches the Rfam family "Bacterial small subunit ribosomal RNA", at positions 37 to 706 of the family's 1533-position model. The record is from RNAcentral. Lineage: Bacteria; Bacillati; Bacillota; Bacilli; Caryophanales; Bacillaceae.
UGGCGGCGUGCCUAAUAUGCAAGUCCAGCGGACAGAUGGGAGCUUGCUCCCUGAUGUUAGCGCGGACGGGUGAGUAACACGUGGGUAACCUGCCUGUAAGACUGGGAUAACUCCGGGAAACCGGGGCUAAUACCGGAUGGUUGUUUGAACCGCAUGGUUCAGACAUAAAAGGUGGCUUCGGCUACCACUUACAGAUGGACCCGCGGCGCAUUAGCUAGUUGGUGAGGUAACGGCUCACCAAGGCAACGAUGCGUAGCCGACCUGAGAGGGUGAUCGGCCACACUGGGACUGAGACACGGCCCAGACUCCUACGGGAGGCAGCAGUAGGGAAUCUUCCGCAAUGGACGAAAGUCUGACGGAGCAACGCCGCGUGAGUGAUGAAGGUUUUCGGAUCGUAAAGCUCUGUUGUUAGGGAAGAACAAGUGCCGUUCAAAUAGGGCGGCACCUUGACGGUACCUAACCAGAAAGCCACGGCUAACUACGUGCCAGCAGCCGCGGUAAUACGUAGGUGGCAAGCGUUGUCCGGAAUUAUUGGGCGUAAAGGGCUCGCAGGCGGUUUCUUAAGUCUGAUGUGAAAGCCCCCGGCUCAACCGGGGAGGGUCAUUGGAAACUGGGGAACUUGAGUGCAAAAGAAGUGGAAUUCCACGUGUACGGUGAAAUGCGUAAAGAUGUGGAGAAC